AUUCAAUAUAUUCCACUAUUUAAACACCCUCUGCGUUCAGCUUCGCAAAAGUGCUAGAGAGAAAUCCCUCUGCAGCGUUCUUAGCUUUGUGAAGUCUCCCAGAUAUGAUCGGUUGUGAGGUAUAAAUUGCCCCAACUGAAAGUGCUUCUUCCAACCAGAACUGGCACAAAUCAGACAGGACGGUGUGAGGGUAAAGUGCUCCAAAACUGACUACAACUCCUCAUGCAGCUUCCUGGUUACUCGGCAGGAAGCCAUAAAGUGAAAG
Non-coding RNA from Pelobates cultripes (western spadefoot toad), 265 nucleotides. The record is from the annotation of a GenBank genome assembly. Lineage: Eukaryota; Metazoa; Chordata; Amphibia; Anura; Pelobatidae.